Molecule: ribosomal RNA, 373 nt
Filed under: uncultured organism
Description: partial 16S ribosomal RNA
Rfam family: Bacterial small subunit ribosomal RNA
Source: RNAcentral
GUAGGUGGGCAAGCGUUGUCCGGAAUUAUUGGGCGUAAAGCGCGCGCAGGGCGGUCCUUUAAGUCUGAUGUGAAAGCCCACGGCUCAACCGUGGAGGGUCAUUGGAAACUGGGGGACUUGAGUACAGAAGAGGAAAGCGGAAUUCCAAGUGUAGCGGUGAAGUGCGUAGAGAUUUGGAGGAACACCAGUGGCGAAGGCGGCUUUCUGGUCUGUAACUGACGCUGAGGCGCGAAAGCGUGGGGAGCAAACAGGAUUAGAUACCCUGGUAGUCCACGCCGUAAACGAUGAGUGCUAAGUGUUAGGGGGUUUCCGCCCCUUAGUGCUGCAGCUAACGCAUUAAGCACUCCGCCUGGGGAGUACGGCCGCAAGGCUG